RNAcentral lists this ribosomal RNA (253 nucleotides) under uncultured bacterium. Its description in RNAcentral is "partial 16S ribosomal RNA". It matches the Rfam family "Bacterial small subunit ribosomal RNA", at positions 524 to 776 of the family's 1533-position model. The record is from RNAcentral.
UACAGGGGGUGCAAACGUUGCUCGGAAUCAUUGGGCGUAAAGCGUGCGCAGGCGGUUCGUUGUGUCGGCGGUGAAAGCCCCGGGCUUAACCUGGGAAUGGCCGUUGAAACUGGCGAACUGGAGUGUGGCAGAGGGGGGUGGAAUUCCGCGUGUAGCACUGAAAUGCGUAGAGAUGCGGAGGAACACCGAUGGCGAAGGCAGCCCCCUGGGCUAACACUGACGCUCAGGCACGAAAGCGUGGGGAGCAAACAGG